This 389-nucleotide ribosomal RNA is filed under the name Latindia sp. RNAcentral describes it as "partial small subunit ribosomal RNA". The record is from RNAcentral. Lineage: Eukaryota; Metazoa; Arthropoda; Insecta; Blattodea; Corydiidae.
UAUUAUUAAUGAUGUUAAUAAUUUACUUUAAUAUUAAUAGAUAUGAUCUUUAAAUUUUAAUGAUUUGGCGGCAUUUUAGUCUUUUUAGAGGAAUCUGUUCUGUAAUCGAUAAUCCGCGUAGGACCUUACUUGAUUAAAGGUUUAUAUAUCGUCGUUUAAAUAAUUUUUAUAGGAUAUUAAAUUUUUAAGGUAUAUUAUUUUUUAGUAUGUCAGAUCAAGGUUUAAUUUAUAGUUAAGUAGAAAUGGAUUACAAUAUUUUUUAUGUAAAUGGAUUUUGUUAUUUAAUUAACUUUUGAAGGUGGAUUUAAAUGUAAUUAUUUUUAUAAGGUUUAAGUGAAUAAAGCUCUAAAAUGUGUACAUAUCGCCCGUCACUCUCAUAUUUUAAUGAG